UGGGGAAUAUUGCGCAAUGGGGGAAACCCUGACGCAGCAACGCCGCGUGAGUGAUGAAGGCUUUCGGGUCGUAAAACUCUGUCAUUGGGGAAGAAAAAAAUGACGGUACCCAAUGAGGAAGCCCCGGCUAACUACGUGCCAGCAGCCGCGGUAAUACGUAGGGGGCAAGCGUUGUCCGGAAUUAUUGGGCGUAAAGGGUGCGUAGGUGGCCUGAUAAGUCAGAUGUGAAAUACCGAGGCUCAACCUCGGAGGUGCAUUUGAAACUAUUAGGCUUGAGUGCAGGAGAGGAAAGUGGAAUUCCUAGUGUAGCGGUGAAAUGCGUAGAGAUUAGGAGGAACACCAGUGGCGAAGGCGACUUUCUGGACUGUAACUGACACUGAGGCACGAAAGCGUGGGGAGCAAACAGG
This 407-nucleotide ribosomal RNA is filed under the name uncultured prokaryote. RNAcentral's name for it is "bacterial SSU rRNA". It matches the Rfam family "Bacterial small subunit ribosomal RNA", at positions 355 to 776 of the family's 1533-position model. The record is from RNAcentral. RNAcentral also lists the same sequence under 1 other name.